RNAcentral lists this ribosomal RNA (425 nucleotides) under uncultured bacterium. RNAcentral describes it as "partial 16S ribosomal RNA". It matches the Rfam family "Bacterial small subunit ribosomal RNA", at positions 354 to 796 of the family's 1533-position model. The record is from RNAcentral.
GUGGGGAAUCUUAGACAAUGGGGGAAACCCUGAUCUAGCCAUGCCGCGUGAUCGAUGAAGGCCUUAGGGUUGUAAAGAUCUUUCAGGUGGGAAGAUAAUGACUGUACCACCAGAAGAAGCCCCGGCUAACUCCGUGCCAGCAGCCGCGGUAAUCCGGAGGGGGCUAGCGUUGUUCGGAAUUACUGGGCGUAAAGCGCACGUAGGCGGAUUGGAAAGUUGGGGGUGAAAUCCCGGGGCUCAACCCCGGAACUGCCUUCAAAACUCCCAGUCUUGAGUUCGAGAGAGGUGAGUGGAAUUCCGAGUGUAGAGGUGAAAUUCGUAGAUAUUCGGAGGAACACCAGUGGCGAAGGCGGCUCACUGGCUCGAUACUGACGCUGAGGUGCGAAAGCGUGGGGAGCAAACAGGAUUAGAAACCCGGGUAGUCC